Long non-coding RNA from Nematostella vectensis (starlet sea anemone), 294 nucleotides. RefSeq lists it as uncharacterized. The transcript has 2 exons. The record is from RefSeq and is a predicted model, not a curated record. NCBI's taxonomy places the organism in Eukaryota, Metazoa, Cnidaria, Anthozoa, Actiniaria, Edwardsiidae.
UUUUACCUGAAAAACAAUGUAGUCCAGUCAAUUUGUGGUUUCAGGUGGAACUACUUGCAAUAAAAUUUCUCUCAAAGGAUUUGGAAUAAGUGAUACAACCUAGUUUACAUACUAAAAGUCGAAAUUAAGUGAAACAAACUUACAAGUUUAAGUUUGUACAAGUCAGAGAGUCAGAGUUUGUAAUGGCCGACAGCUUGAAAACCGCUAGAAAGCUACAUUGUAGAAGGAGCUGCCAGGUUCCGGAAGUUAAUAAGUGUGUUAUUCAAGCAUCGGAAUAAAUCGUUGUGUUUAUAA